GACGAACGCUGGCGGCGUGCUUAACACAUGCAAGUCGAGCGGUAAGGCCCUUUCGGGGUACACGAGCGGCGAACGGGUGAGUAACACGUGGGUGACCUGCCCUCAGCUCUGGGAUAAGCCUGGGAAACCGGGUACUAAUACUGGAUAUGACUCCAUGACGCAUGUUGUGGGGUGGAAAGCCUUGUGCGGCUGAGGAUGGGGCCCGCGGCCUAUCAGCUUGUUGGUGGGGUGAGGGCCCUACCAAGGCGACGACGGGUAGCCGGCCUGAGAGGGCGACCGGCCACACUGGGACUGAGACACGGCCCAGACUCCUACGGGAGGCAGCAGUGGGGAAUCUUGCGCAAUGGGCGAAAGCCUGACGCAGCGACGCCGCGUGAGGGAU
RNAcentral lists this ribosomal RNA (382 nucleotides) under uncultured bacterium. RNAcentral describes it as "bacterial SSU rRNA". It matches the Rfam family "Bacterial small subunit ribosomal RNA", at positions 28 to 409 of the family's 1533-position model. The record is from RNAcentral.